UCAGUUUCGGCUGAGAGAGUAAAGUGGCGAACGGGUGAGUAACGCGUGGGUAAUCUACCCUCGAGACGGGGAUAACUGUCUGAAAGGACAGCUAAUACCCGAUAACAUCGUCAGAUCUUCGGAUUCGACGAUCAAAGGUGACCGCUACAUGUAAGUUGCCACUUGUGGAUGAGCCCGCGUACCAUUAGCUUGUUGGUGAGGUAAAAGCUCACCAAGGCCAUGAUGGUUAGCUGGUCUGAGAGGAUGAUCAGCCACACUGGAACUGGAACACGGUCCAGACUCCUACGGGAGGCAGCAGUGAGGAAUAUUGCGCAAUGGGGGAAACCCUGACGCAGCAACGCCGCGUGAGUGAGGAAGGCCUUCGGGUUGUAAAGCUCUGUCAAGUGGGAAGAAGGGUUCGAUGUUAAUAGCGCCGAACUUUGACGGUACCACGAGAGGAAGCACCGGCUAACUCCGUGCCAGCAGCCGCGGUAAUACGGAGGGUGCGAGCGUUGUUCGGAAUUAUUGGGCGUAAAGAGCGUGUAGGCGGUUAGCUAAGUCAGAUGUGAAAGCCCUGGGCUCAACCCAGGAAGUGCAUUUGAAACUGGCUGACUUGAGUACGGGAGAGGAGAGUGGAAUUCCUGGUGUAGAGGUGAAAUUCGUAGAUAUCAGGAGGAACAUCGGUGGCGAAGGCGACUCUCUGGACCGAUACUGACGCUGAGACGCGAAAG
Molecule: ribosomal RNA, 710 nt
Filed under: uncultured bacterium
Lineage: Bacteria
Description: bacterial SSU rRNA
Rfam family: Bacterial small subunit ribosomal RNA
Source: RNAcentral